GGAGAAAGCAUGAAUGAGAACCCGGAAGCGUGUGCGUCACCGGAAGCAAGAUCACAACAUGCUGUUGAACGCCACCCUUUUAUACCACGGCCGCCCAAUCAUAGCAGCCAACCAAUUAGAGUCCCUUCUGCUACAGUAACAAAGAUCCUCCAAGUUGAAACCGAAAGCAAUUGUUUGCGCCAUUUUUCUUUACAUUUAUUGUUGGGUGCUACAGCAGGUGCGUCAUUAACGAGUGAGCAGACAUGCUGGUCCCACAGCUGCUCUUUGAAAAACUGCAAGACCUACCUAAUGAUGACUUUGAAACAUUUAAGUGGUACCUCUCAAUGAAGAUCUUGGACAGCUGCAAACCAAUUCCAAAGUCCCACCUGGAGAACAAAGGUCGUCGAGAGAUUGUGAGUUGUAUGAUAGAUAGCUACUGUGAAGAGCCGGCUGUGAAAGUCACUGUUGAGAUCCUGAGGAAAAUGAACGUCAACAACAUUGCAGACGCGAUACAGAGCAGGUUUGAAGAGGGGAGAACGCCUGCUCCCUCUUCCUCCUCCUCUGCUUCACAUCAUUCCGCUGGAACCACAAUUUCGGCUCAACAGGGAGCAUUCGUAAUCGCCCCGGCGAUCACCGGUUCCCACUCUGGACCAGUGAAUAUAAACAUCUAUAAAUAAUCUCAGUGGAGACUAGAAAGGAGGGCACAUUAUAUUUUCAAAUGAUUUCUUUCCCUUACAUGAACUGUGGUUUAGGUUAACUGGUGAUUCUAAAUAGGGCUGAGGUAUGGGUCUGUUCCACCCCGUAAUGCAUCGCCAUCUUUUCAGUGUGUACACCACUCAUCAGGUGGAUGUUUCUGUGUAGUUUAAACAGUGUAGUUACAUGUUCCUUGCAACACAGAAAUACCCUACAUAUACAAGGCUUUCUAAUGAUGCCCAAAAUUAUUUCAACUACAUUUGAUGACAUGUAAAAAAAAAAGACCCAGAACCUCGAGUAUAUUUUGUUUAAAAUUUUCACUCUGAUACUUUAAAGUAUGAUAAGCAACAACAAUACAAUCAAUCCAACUAAUGAUGGUGGCUUUUUAAUCUUUGUACCUGCGAUUUCUCUGGUGUAACAUAAACAAAUGUACUGAGGGAAAAAAAAGAAUUUUAUUUAUGAUUAAAUGUAGAAUGUCAUAUUGUGUGCUUUGUCAUAAUUUCACAUGCGUAUUUGUACAGGAAUUGUUAAAAUAGUUCCUGUCACACCAGGAAGUGCUGAUUUUCUUUCUCUUCGGCCUCCAUCAUGCUGUCUGACUGCAGACGGAGCCAAGUUCAUGAGACAUGAACUUUCAUUUGUACCAGAAAUAAACACGUUUAUACUCA
Molecule: long non-coding RNA, 1337 nt
Organism: Archocentrus centrarchus (flier cichlid)
Lineage: Eukaryota; Metazoa; Chordata; Actinopteri; Cichliformes; Cichlidae
Exons: 3
Source: RefSeq, a predicted model, not a curated record